UAGUCCCUACGGGACGCAGCAGUGGGGAAUAUUGCACAAUAGGGGAAACCCUGAUGCAGCAACGCCGCGUGCGGGACGACGGCCCUCGGGUUGUAAACCGCUUUCAGUGGGGACGAUGGUGACGGUACCCACAGAAGAAGCUCCGGCUAACUACGUGCCAGCAGCCGCGGUAAUACGUAGGGAGCGAGCGUUAUCCGGAUUCAUUGGGCGUAAAGCGCGCGUAGGCGGCUGCCUAAGCGGAACCUCUAAUCCCGGGGCUCAACCUCGGGCCGGGUUCCGAACUGGGCGGCUCGAGUGCGGUAGAG
Molecule: ribosomal RNA, 305 nt
Filed under: uncultured bacterium
Lineage: Bacteria
Description: bacterial SSU rRNA
Rfam family: Bacterial small subunit ribosomal RNA
Source: RNAcentral